This 395-nucleotide unclassified non-coding RNA is filed under the name fungal sp. Its description in RNAcentral is "partial internal transcribed spacer region". The stretch from base 1 to 46 matches the Rfam family "Eukaryotic small subunit ribosomal RNA", at positions 1786 to 1831 of the family's 1831-position model. Lineage: Eukaryota; Fungi. The record is from RNAcentral.
AAGUCGUAACAAGGUUUCCGUAGGUGAACCUGCGGAAGGAUCAUUAACACGUAUCCAAACGUAAAAAACCCCCCCCGUGAACAUUCAAUCCUGCUCUUGUAACCCGCGUAGUUCGCAAUCUCUGGUAAAUCAUAGCCCGGAAAGUAGUUUUGAUUCAGAGACCUCUGGCUACGUGAGAACAUUGGAACAGUUACAAUCGAGCGGUAGUUUCAUAGGCAUUGUUUCCCCAAGCAGUCAGUGUCUGAAAGUGUCACUGAUUGUGCAAGGAUAGCGCUUCAACGAUUCCUGUAGACCGUACACUCGGGCCUUAUAACCCCACAGUUUAAUGUGAAGCUCAAUGUAAUACAUUGGGUAAAAAAACCGAACAACUGUUAACAAUGGAUAUCUUGGUUCUC